This 468-nucleotide ribosomal RNA is filed under the name uncultured bacterium. RNAcentral's name for it is "partial 16S ribosomal RNA". It matches the Rfam family "Bacterial small subunit ribosomal RNA", at positions 28 to 507 of the family's 1533-position model. The record is from RNAcentral.
GACGAACGCUGGCGGCGUGCUUAACACAUGCAAGUCGAACGGAAAGGCCCUGCUUUUGUGGGGUGCUCGAGUGGCGAACGGGUGAGUAACACGUGAGUAACCUGCCCUUGACUUUGGGAUAACUUCAGGAAACUGGGGCUAAUACCGGAUAGGAGCUCCUGCUGCAUGGUGGGGGUUGGAAAGUUUCGGCGGUUGGGGAUGGACUCGCGGCUUAUCAGCUUGUUGGUGGGGUAGUGGCUUACCAAGGCUUUGACGGGUAGCCGGCCUGAGAGGGUGACCGGCCACAUUGGGACUGAGAUACGGCCCAGACUCCUACGGGAGGCAGCGGUGGGGAAUAUUGCACAGUGAGCGGGAGCCUGAUGCAGCAACGCCGCGUGCGGGAUGACGGCCUUCGGGUUGUAAACCGCUUUCGCCUGUGACGAAGCGUGAGUGACGGUAAUGGGUAAAGAAGCACCGGCUAACUACGUG